RNAcentral lists this ribosomal RNA (358 nucleotides) under Acinetobacter baumannii OIFC083. RNAcentral describes it as "bacterial SSU rRNA". It matches the Rfam family "Bacterial small subunit ribosomal RNA", at positions 40 to 400 of the family's 1533-position model. Lineage: Bacteria; Pseudomonadati; Pseudomonadota; Gammaproteobacteria; Moraxellales; Moraxellaceae. The record is from RNAcentral.
CGGCAGGCUUAACACAUGCAAGUCGAGCGGGGGAAGGUAGCUUGCUACCGGACCUAGCGGCGGACGGGUGAGUAAUGCUUAGGAAUCUGCCUAUUAGUGGGGGACAACAUCUCGAAAGGGAUGCUAAUACCGCAUACGUCCUACGGGAGAAAGCAGGGGAUCUUCGGACCUUGCGCUAAUAGAUGAGCCUAAGUCGGAUUAGCUAGUUGGUGGGGUAAAGGCCUACCAAGGCGACGAUCUGUAGCGGGUCUGAGAGGAUGAUCCGCCACACUGGGACUGAGACACGGCCCAGACUCCUACGGGAGGCAGCAGUGGGGAAUAUUGGACAAUGGGGGGAACCCUGAUCCAGCCAUGCCGC